AUUGAACGCUGGCGGCAUGCCUUACACAUGCAAGUCGAACGGCAGCACGGGAGCAUCCUGGUGGCGAGUGGCGAACGGGUGAGUAAAGUAUCGGAACGUGCCCAGUCGUGGGGGAUAACGUAGCGAAAGUUACGCUAAUACCGCAUACGAUCUAUGGAUGAAAGCGGGGGAUCGCAAGACCUCGCGCGAUUGGAGCGGCCGAUAUCAGAUUAGGUAGUUGGUGGGGUAAAGGCUCACCAAGCCGAAGAUCUGUAGCUGGUCUGAGAGGACGACCAGCCUCACUGGGACUGAGACAAGGCCCAGACUCCUACGGGAGGCAGCAGUGGGGAAUUUUGGACAAUGGGCGAAAGCCUGAUCCAGCCAUGCCGCGUGCAGGAUGAAGGCCUUCGGGUUGUAAACUGCUUUUGUACGGAACGAAAAGGUUUGGCCUAAUAAGCUGAGCUCAUGACGGUACCGUAAGAAUAAGCACCGGCUAACUACGUGCCAGCCGCCGCCGUAA
RNAcentral lists this ribosomal RNA (499 nucleotides) under uncultured bacterium. RNAcentral describes it as "partial 16S ribosomal RNA". It matches the Rfam family "Bacterial small subunit ribosomal RNA", at positions 30 to 523 of the family's 1533-position model. The record is from RNAcentral.